UGGCGGCAGGCUUAACACAUGCAAGUCGAACGGUUGUAGCAAUACAGCAGUGGCGCACGGGUGAGUAACGCGUGGAUAUCUGCCUUUUGGUUCGGAAUAACUCCGGGAAACUGGAGCUAAUACCGGAUGGUUCCUGCGGGAUAAAGAUUUAUCGCCAAAAGAUGAGUCCGCGUACGAUUAGCUAGUUGGUGAGGUAAUGGCUCGCCAAGGCGACGAUCGUUAGCUGGUCUGAGAGGACGAUCAGCCACACUGGGACUGAGACACGGCCCAGACUCCUACGGGAGGCAGCAGUGGGGAAUAUUGGACAAUGGGGGCAACCCUGAUCCAGCCAUGCCGCGUGAGUGAUGAAGGCCUUCGGGUUGUAAAGCUCUUUUGGCGGGGACGAUGAUGACGGUACCCGCAGAAUAAGCCCCGGCUAACUUCGUG
RNAcentral lists this ribosomal RNA (426 nucleotides) under uncultured bacterium. Its description in RNAcentral is "bacterial SSU rRNA". It matches the Rfam family "Bacterial small subunit ribosomal RNA", at positions 37 to 507 of the family's 1533-position model. The record is from RNAcentral.